AGCGAACGCUGGCGGCAGGCCUAACACAUGCAAGUCGAACGAACCUUUCGGGGUUAGUGGCGGACGGGUGAGUAACACGUGGGAACGUGCCUUUAGGUUCGGAAUAACUCAGGGAAACUUGUGCUAAUACCGAAUGUGCCCUUCGGGGGAAAGAUUAAUCGCCUUUAGAGCGGCCCGCGUCUGUUUAGCUAGUUGUUUGAGGUAAUGGCUCACCAAGGCGACGAUCAGUAGCUGGUCUGAGAGGAUGAUCCGCCACAUUGGGACUGAGACACGGCCCAAACUCCUACGGGAGGCAGCAGUGGGGAAUCUUGCGCAAGGGGCGAAAGCCUGACGCAGCCAGGCCGCGUGAAUGAUGAAGGUCUUAGGAUUGUAAAAUUCUUUCACCGGGGACGAUAAUGACGGUACCCGGAGAAGAAGCCCCGGCUAACUUCGUG
This 434-nucleotide ribosomal RNA is filed under the name uncultured bacterium. RNAcentral's name for it is "partial 16S ribosomal RNA". It matches the Rfam family "Bacterial small subunit ribosomal RNA", at positions 29 to 507 of the family's 1533-position model. The record is from RNAcentral.